Molecule: long non-coding RNA, 935 nt
Organism: Sinocyclocheilus anshuiensis
Lineage: Eukaryota; Metazoa; Chordata; Actinopteri; Cypriniformes; Cyprinidae
Exons: 2
Source: RefSeq, a predicted model, not a curated record
GUGGCAGAUCCGUCUGGUGAGUGUGUGUGGACGGGACCUUUUUGGUCUUUUGGCGGCUGAGAUGUUCUUCCGCAUUCCUCUCCUGACGCCUGGAUACAUUCGAUACCUGCAGACUCAGGCAGCACGGACCGGUCUGCAGAGGGAGGGGCCCGUUGUACCCCGCUUUGCCAUGCUGCUGGGCCUUGUGGGUAUUGGCAUGUCAGGAUACAGCUCUUGCCAGCUGACCUUAUACCACAAGCCAUUGCCACAUCUCCUGCGGUGAAACACAAUGCAGGAAACAGAGAGAAAGCGCAUCGCUUUUGUUUAGAGGUGCGUUCUUUCUUAAACAGACUGAACAACCCAAAUAUCAUCAUUAUAGUUUUUUACCACAUCAUGCUGAAGCUCAUAGUCUUGCUUUGGGUGCGAGGAUAGCAGAUCCUCAACCAAGCUCUCCCAAACUUGUUCUCUGGCAACAAUGGAGUGAAUUAAAUGCUUUUACUUUUUAAUUAGUUAGUCUUAAUUAGUUAGCAUCCUUCUGAAUCAUAAAAUGACAAAGGGGAUAUUAUAUGGCCUUGUGGAGCUCAAGGAUGUCUCAAAGGCUACUUCAAUUCACCAUUUGGGACAGGGGUCCACUUAGCACUGGAUUAUAUUUUUGAUAUAAUCCCAAUUUGCAAUCCCAAAAAUAACUGUCUGUGCACCUAAAGUUCCUAUAGACCACCACAGGCUCCACAGUAAAUGCAAACCAGCCAAAGCUGUCACGUCGCAGACAUUAUGCAGAAGUAUGACUUCAGUGAUUACUGAUCUUCUUUUAAAAGACAUAUUGCUCUAAUGAAGAGAGAAAUUUCAGCAGGUCACCUUCAUAGCUAUGAGUCACUAUUUACAGGACAGGGUGUCAUCCUUAAAAAACAAUGAGCAUUUGUCUAAAGCAAACAAUUUAAAUUAUUCUUUUUUAUAUA